This is a long non-coding RNA of Ochotona princeps (American pika), 504 nucleotides long. RefSeq lists it as uncharacterized. The transcript has 4 exons. Lineage: Eukaryota; Metazoa; Chordata; Mammalia; Lagomorpha; Ochotonidae. The record is from RefSeq and is a predicted model, not a curated record.
CUUGUCCCGGUGCUGCCUGUGCCCUGCUGCUUCUGCCAGAGCCUUGGGGACUGUCGGGCGCCCGCCACCUCCACAGAAGUGCCUGACACACUUUCCUGACCCCUCCAUCUACCCGGCGUGGACCGGACGCAUGGGAUGGACAGACCAUUGAUCACUUCUGGAGAGUUAACUGCAGAAUCCAAGACUCACUGAAAAAGCAACGGUGACUGUGAAGUUUAUCCUAGGAGCUGAACCACGGAGCAGAGGUCCACACCUGUGCCUUUGGAGAUGUGUCAGAUGAAUCCUGUUUCUGGAAAGCAGUUGCUUAUGCCAUUGGCCAGAGUCAAAAGCAUACAAGUGGCUACAGGCAGGUCAGGAGCCCUGCAAGGAGGGACCUGAAAAAUGUGCCAUUUUACCUGAGAAUCUGGAGAAGAGGAAAAGGCCUUGGGACUCUGCAUCUGCGUGGGAGACCUGGAGGAAGUUCCUGGCUCCUGGAUUCAGACGAGUGCAGCUCCAGCCACUGUG